Molecule: ribosomal RNA, 497 nt
Filed under: uncultured bacterium
Lineage: Bacteria
Description: partial 16S ribosomal RNA
Rfam family: Bacterial small subunit ribosomal RNA
Source: RNAcentral
GAUGAACGCUUUCUUCUUUCCUAAUACAUGCAAGUCGAGCGAACAGACGAGGAGCUUGCUCCUCUGACGUUAGCGGCGGACGGGUGAGUAACACGUGGAUAACCUACCUAUAAGACUGGGAUAACUUCGGGAAACCGGAGCUAAUACCGGAUAAUAUAUUGAACCGCAUGGUUCAAUAGUGAAAGACGGUUUUGCUGUCACUUAUAGAUGGAUCCGCGCCGCAUUAGCUAGUUGGUAAGGUAACGGCUUACCAAGGCAACGAUGCGUAGCCGACCUGAGAGGGUGAUCGGCCACACUGGAACUGAGACACGGUCCAGACUCCUACGGGAGGCAGCAGUAGGGAAUCUUCCGCAAUGGGCGAAAGCCUGACGGAGCAACGCCGCGUGAGUGAUGAAGGUCUUCGGAUCGUAAAACUCUGUUAUUAGGGAAGAACAAAUGUGCAAGUAACUAUGCACGUCUUGACGGUACCUAAUCAGAAAGCCACGGCUAACUACGUG